CCUACGGGUCGCAGCAGUAGGGAAUCUUUCACAAUGGGCGAAAGCCUGAUGGAGCAACGCCGCGUGCAGGAUGAAGGCCUUCGGGUUGUAAACUGCUUUUAUAAGCGAGAAAUAUGAUGGUAACUUAUGAAUAAGGAUCGGCUAACUACGUGCCAGCAGCCGCGGUCAUACGUAGGAUCAGGGCAUUAUCCAGAGUGACUGGGUGUAAAGAGUUGCGUAGGUGGCAUAAUAAGUAGCUAGUGAAAUCUGGUGGCUCAACCAUUCAGACUAUUAGCUAAACUGUUAAGCUCGAGACCGUUAGGGGUAACUGGAAUUUCUAGUGUAGGAGUGAAAUCCGUAGAUAUUAGAAGGAACACCAAUAGCGUAGGCAGGUUGCUGGGACGGUUCUGACACUAAGGCACGAAAGCGUAGGGAGCAAACGGGAUUAGAUACCCCAGUAGUC
This 442-nucleotide ribosomal RNA is filed under the name uncultured bacterium. Its description in RNAcentral is "partial 16S ribosomal RNA". It matches the Rfam family "Bacterial small subunit ribosomal RNA", at positions 338 to 795 of the family's 1533-position model. The record is from RNAcentral.